RNAcentral lists this transfer RNA (69 nucleotides) under Zenion japonicum (Japanese dory). RNAcentral describes it as "tRNA-Arg". It matches the Rfam family "tRNA". Rfam says of the family: Transfer RNA (tRNA) molecules are approximately 80 nucleotides in length. Their secondary structure includes four short double-helical elements and three loops (D, anti-codon, and T loops). The record is from RNAcentral. Lineage: Eukaryota; Metazoa; Chordata; Actinopteri; Zeiformes; Zenionidae.
AGACAAUUAGUAUAAACAAAACACUUGAUUUCGGCUCAAAAGAUUGUGGUUAAACCCCAUAAUUGUUUA